RNAcentral lists this ribosomal RNA (253 nucleotides) under uncultured bacterium. RNAcentral's name for it is "partial 16S ribosomal RNA". It matches the Rfam family "Bacterial small subunit ribosomal RNA", at positions 524 to 776 of the family's 1533-position model. The record is from RNAcentral.
UACAGAGGUCUCAAGCGUUGUUCGGAUUCAUUGGGCGUAAAGGGUGCGUAGGUGGUGAUGCAAGUCUGGUGUGAAAUCUCGGAGCUCAACUCCGAAAUUGCACCGGAUACUGCGUGAUUCGAGGACUGUAGAGGAGAUCGGAAUUCACGGUGUAGCAGUGAAAUGCGUAGAUAUCGUGAGGAAGACCAGUUGCGAAGGCGGAUCUCUGGGCAGUUCCUGACACUGAGGCACGAAGGCCAGGGGAGCAAACGGG